AUACGAAGGGUGCAAGCGUUAAUCGGAAUUACUGGGCGUAAAGCGCGCGUAGGUGGUUCGUUAAGUUGGAUGUGAAAGCCCCGGGCUCAACCUGGGAACUGCAUCCAAAACUGGCGAGCUAGAGUAUAGCAGAGGGUGGUGGAAUUUCCUGUGUAGCGGUGAAAUGCGUAGAUAUAGGAAGGAACACCAGUGGCGAAGGCGACCACCUGGGCUAAUACUGACACUGAGUGUCGAAGGCGUAGGGAAAAAACAGAAUUAGAUACCCUGUUAGUCCGCGCCAUAAACGAUGUCGGCUAGCCGUUGGGAUCCUUGAGAUCUUAGUGGCUCAGCUAACGCAUUAAGUGGAACGCCUGGGGAGUACGGCCGCAAGGUUAAAACUCAAAUGAAUUGACGGGG
RNAcentral lists this ribosomal RNA (396 nucleotides) under uncultured bacterium. RNAcentral's name for it is "partial 16S ribosomal RNA". It matches the Rfam family "Bacterial small subunit ribosomal RNA", at positions 523 to 918 of the family's 1533-position model. The record is from RNAcentral.